RNAcentral lists this ribosomal RNA (418 nucleotides) under uncultured bacterium. RNAcentral describes it as "bacterial SSU rRNA". It matches the Rfam family "Bacterial small subunit ribosomal RNA", at positions 976 to 1391 of the family's 1533-position model. The record is from RNAcentral.
AAGGCUUGACAUCCCCUUGACCAGUGCAGAGAUGUACUCUUCUCUUCGGAGACAAAGGUGACAGGUGGUGCAUGGUUGUCGUCAGCUCGUGUCGUGAGAUGUUGGGUUAAGUCCCGCAACGAGCGCAACCCUUAUCCUUAGUUGCCAGCAGGUAAAGCUGGGCACUCUAAGGAGACUGCCGAUGAUAAAUCGGAGGAAGGUGGGGAUGACGUCAAAUCAUCAUGCCCCUUAUGUCUUGGGCUACACACGUGCUACAAUGGUCGGUACAAAGGGAAGCGAAGUAGAGAUAUGGAGCAAAUCCCAAUAAACCGAUCCCAGUUCGGAUUGUAGGCUGAAACUCGCCUACAUGAAGUUGGAGUUACUAGUAAUCGCGAAUCAGAAUGUCGCGGUGAAUGCGUUCCCGGGUCUUGUACACACG